UAGAUACAGAACCAAUACACCAUCUGUUAACCGCAGGUGGUGUAAAAAAGGUGAUUCAUAGUAACCGAACGGAUCGCAUUAUGGUCAUUUUAUAUGGCUGGCGAUAGAUCAUUCAAGUUUCUGACCUAUCAGCUUUCGACGGUAGUGUAUUGGACUACCGUGGCAGUGACGGGUAACGGGGAAUUAGGGUUCGAUUCCGGAGAGGGAGCCUGAGAAACGGCUACCACAUCUAAGGAAGGCAGCAGGCGCGCAAAUUACCCAAUCCUGACUCAGGGAGGUAGUGACAAGAAAUAACAACACUGGAAAUUUUAUUUCUAGUGAUUGGAAUGAUGGGAAUUUAAACCCCUUUCAGAGUAACAAUUGGAGGGCAAGUCUGGUGCCAGCAGCCGCGGUAAUUCCAGCUCCAAUAGCGUAUAUUAAAGUUGUUGCAGUUAAAAAGCUCGUAGUUGGAUGUCUGCUGGAAGCAAUCAGUCCGCCCUAUUUGUAGGGUGUGCACUUGAUGAAUUCUGGCAUCUAUGUCCCAAUAAUAUGAUGGUGUAUAUACCCUGUGUAUAUUCCAUCUAUAUUGGGAUAAUACCGUUACUUUGAGAAAAUUAGAGUGUUUGAAGCAGGCUAAUUGCCUUGAAUACUGCAGCAUGGAAUAACAAUAUAGGAUUUCGGUUCUAUUUUGUUGGUUUCUAGGACUGAAAUAAUGAUUAAUAGGGACAGUUGGGGGCAUUCGUAUUU
RNAcentral lists this ribosomal RNA (726 nucleotides) under Sarcocystis cruzi. RNAcentral describes it as "SSU rRNA". It matches the Rfam family "Eukaryotic small subunit ribosomal RNA", at positions 211 to 899 of the family's 1831-position model. The record is from RNAcentral. Lineage: Eukaryota; Apicomplexa; Conoidasida; Eucoccidiorida; Sarcocystidae.